AUGCGUGAUCAGGUCAGCAUCGACCUGGACGGCUUCCCACUCGACCACGAGUUCCCGGACGACUACGGGCUAGAGGAAGAGGACGAGUGCGACAUCGAAGUGGAGCCUUUGUUCGAGGACGAGCUCGCCAACCAAGCUGCCAGUCCUAAGCCGAAGCGCAAGAGCAAGCGCACGAAGGCAUACACGGCCGCCGUGGACAAGCUUCUUUGCGAGUGCUGGCGCGACAUUGGACAAGACUCCAAGACGGGCGCCGAACAAAAUUAUUCAACCUUUUGGAUUCGUGUCCAUCGAAAGUUUCAUGACCGCAAGAAGUUUCCGCCUUACCAAUUUAUGAGCACGCGCGGUUGGGUGUCCAUUUUCAGGUGA
This 366-nucleotide ribosomal RNA is filed under the name Triticum aestivum (bread wheat). Its description in RNAcentral is "partial small subunit ribosomal RNA". Lineage: Eukaryota; Viridiplantae; Streptophyta; Magnoliopsida; Poales; Poaceae. The record is from RNAcentral.